AAAACCAACUGUUUCUAUUGUGCAUCUUCUUGAUUUUUUUUUUGAACUUAUUCGUUGUUAUGUGAGGGCAAAUAGGCCUUGUCCAUUUCUUUUGCAGUUUGGUUAAUUCUUAUUGUUUGUGUUUUAUCAAUUAGUUUAAAUUAACAUGAGGGCAGUUCAGUGUCCUGUUUAAUAAUUUUUGUGUGUAUCUUAGUGAUUCUUUAUUGAGAUUGCUCUGUUUUUGUGUCACAGGAUCUGGGUGCCAAAGGCAGGGAGGCCGGCUCUAUUCCCUUCUAGUGGUGGUGGUGUUAUUCACAGUGUGCUGUGUCCAUCGGUGGAAAGUGGUGUGUGUGUGUUUGCGUGCACUGGUAAAAGGAAUGAUUUCUGACAGCCUGACCCUGCUGUUUCUCUUCAGGUCAUAAAUGAGGGUGUAACCGGAAGAUCUGCAUUUAUGUCAUUCUCUCACAGUGACCACAAAAGAUAAAAAUAGUAAGAAGAAUUUAGAAAGAGAAACUUCAGCCGCAUACUCACCUGCUGCUUCAUCUGUGUAUUUGCUGUGCUGAUAAACAAAGUGUGUCUGCAGGUCACAGUAGAGGGUUUUAUUGGUGGUUCUGUUGUGCUGCCGUGUUCUUCAGAUAAACAUGAUCAUAAACUUCAAGACAUUGAUGUGUUUUGGAGACACAAUGGCAGCAAGAUCGUAUUUGAUAUAAUUCCACACAGUAAUGCACCAGUGACACAGGAUCCAGAGUACAAGAACAGAGUUGAAUCUUUCCCUCAGGAGUAUCUGAGAGGAAACUUCUCCAUCAAACUGAACAAUCUUCAACACACUGAUGCAGGACAAUACAUCUGUUACAUCUCACACUCAUCUGAAUAUCAGACUGUAAAGCUGAUCAUCAAUGGAUCAAUAUCCACUGAACGAGGAACAGAACAGGAGGAAAUUGUGCCAUCACUGCCUUUGCUCUUGGUUUGCAUUAUAUUACCUGUGAUGUUAUUUGUAGUGGUUGUUAUUUUUAUUGCAGUUUUCUGGAGAAAAAAGCACUCAAUCAGCAGGGCAGCUGGAAACGGUGUGAGUUCAGCCACUCCUGAGGAUGUGAGCCCUUGUGCACAAUUUAAACCAGCAGUCGGUAAAUGAAAAACUGCACUUUUAUGCAGCAACUGCUUGAGCUUUUGCAUUAAAAAUGGAGUCAGAGGAGGUUGGUGCUUUCAUUGUUGUUGCCGCAGCUUCAGGUAGAAAAAUAGAAAUAAAGUCCAGUAAGUAAAGGAUUUGUUUGAAGAACAGAAAACAGCUAGAAUGAGUGUGUUUCUGUAUCUUCCUUAUGUUCACUCUAUAAGGCUACCUAGCAAUCUCUAGUGAUGUGGCCUUUCAUGGUUUUGGAAUUCAAGUCAAUUCCCAAAAAAUUAUCAGGAGCUUGCAAGGUGCUCUACUUAUUCAUAAAUCAAUAUUGUAAUUAGUCUACAGCUGUUUUUGCAGGAAACGUCAUUCUUCAACAAGUCAUAUCUGUAAAGGAGAGAAGGUCUCAUAAGUUGCUUGAAGGCUUAAAAAAUGACCUUAAACUGAUAUGAAUUUUCAAGCACAAAAGGGAAAGCAACUAUAGUGAAUCAUUGGCUUGGCUUGGAAAAAUGUUUAGUUUGCAUAACAUCACAUUUGCUGUGCAUUUAGAUUCUUAAAACAAUGUUUAUGUUGGUAACAUUGCCUAAAUAGCCUUAUAACAACAGCACCAUAUAAACUACUUACCUGGUCAUAUAACAUUUUUAUGAAUAUCCAUCUUUAUUUCAAUAUUUAUUUUUUUCAGGAGUGUUAGAUAUUUUGAUGUUGUAAGCAACAUUCACACUGAUAAGACAAUCGCCUGUAACCAUGGGCUCAGUUUGUUGGCCCAUUUCUGCCUUAUAAGAA
This is an RNA transcript of Cyprinus carpio (common carp), 1873 nucleotides long. It is a transcript of the gene named ICOS ligand-like, with no coding region annotated. The transcript is spliced from 6 exons. The record is from RefSeq and is a predicted model, not a curated record. NCBI's taxonomy places the organism in Eukaryota, Metazoa, Chordata, Actinopteri, Cypriniformes, Cyprinidae.